RNAcentral lists this non-coding RNA (29 nucleotides) under Rattus norvegicus (Norway rat). The record is from RNAcentral. Lineage: Eukaryota; Metazoa; Chordata; Mammalia; Rodentia; Muridae.
UCCUAAUGCCAAACCAGGUCUGCCAGACA